This 717-nucleotide long non-coding RNA is filed under the name Salvia miltiorrhiza (redroot sage). RNAcentral describes it as "long non-coding RNA (SMIL_LNC012790)". Lineage: Eukaryota; Viridiplantae; Streptophyta; Magnoliopsida; Lamiales; Lamiaceae. The record is from RNAcentral.
GAAACUAAAGUCUAAACUAAAACUAAGCUAAGCUCCUCACCCCCCUGUUCCCGUUUCGAAUUAAAUUCCUCCCUUCCCAAAUCGUCCCAGCCCUAGAACUCUGUACUCCCGCCCGGCCGCCCCACUCCUGAAAUCAUUCCAGUCUCUGCGCGGCUGCGCCCCUCACCUGGCCCACUCCAAAAAUUCGCCUGUUGAAUCUCACUCCCUCCGCUGCACCGACGGCGAGACUCCAGUCCAGACGCCUCACGCCGCAGCUGAACCUCCAACCCCGGCGCCCCGCUGCAGCAGCUGCGUCUCCUCCGGCCUCCUUCUAGCUCUGGCAAGUAUGUUUGGAUGCAAUAAUUAUUGACAUUUCUGGACAAGCAUUUUGGGCAUCUAUAUUGGUCAGAAAAUGUCGAAAAAAACUGACUUUAUAUAAUGCCAAUUUCUCCUUUCAUUGUUGAUUAGAUCCAAACUUGACUUUCAAGAUUUGCCACUUUCGGCACUUAUUUGUGAAGAACAAAGCACCGAAUUUCUCCUUUCAUUGUUGAUUAGAUCCAAAUCACCUCGGGUAAUUUAGGGUACCCGAAUACCCGAUUCGGGUACCCGAGUCGGGUAUUAGGGUACCCGAUUUCGUAAUCGGGUUCGGGAUCGGGUAUCAUUUUUUAUCAAUUUUCGGGUUCGGGUACCCGAUUUUUUCGGGUAGGGUACCCGAACCCGACCCGAUUCCCACCCCUA